UUGUGAACUUUUAAAUUAUAGUUUUUCCCACUUUCUACAUUUUUAAAACUCUCUACAAUAAUUGUAUGAUUUUAUAGGCAGCCAACAAGAGCUACAAAAUACUUUAUGCUGAUGUGGCAGUGGUUAUACUUUAUUUAUUUAUUUGACAGAGUCACACUCCAUUACCCAGGCUGGAGUGCAGUGGUGUGAUCUCGGCUCACUGCAACCUCUGCCUCCGAGUUCAAGUAAUUCUUAAGCCUCAGCCUCUCAAGUAGCUGGGUUACAGGCACACACCACCACGCCUGGCUAAUUUUUGUAUUUGUAUUUUAAUUAAUUAAUUUAUUUAUUUUGAGACAGUCUUACUCUACUGCCCAGGCUGAAGUGCAGUGGUACAAUCUCAGGUGGUACAAUCUCAGCUCACUGCAACCUCCACCUCCCAGGUUCAAGCGAUUCUCCUGCCUCAGCCUCCUGAGUAGCUGGGAUCACAGACACCACCACACCCAGCUAAUUUUUUAAUAUUUUUGGCACAGAUGAGGUUUCAUCAUGUUGACCAGACUAGUCUCGAACUCCUGACCUCAAGUGAUCCACCUGCCUCUGCCUCCCAAAGUGCUGGGAUUACAGGCAUUAGCCACCACACCUGGCCUUAUUUUAUUUUUUGAGACAGUCUUGCUCUGUCAUCCAGGCUGGAGUGCUCAAGCAUCAGCCUCCUGAGUAGCUGGGAUUAUGGGCCCACACCACCAGACCCCAGGCUAUUCUUUGUUUUUUAGAAAAAAGGCAACAAAAGCACAAAUAGGCAAAUGGGAUUGCCUCAAGCUAAAAAGCUUCUGUUGCAGUGAGAGAAACAGUAAAGUGAAGAGACAACCUACAAAAUGGGAAAAAAUAUUUGUGACUAUCAAUCCAACAAGGGCUUAAUAACCAGAAUAUGUAAAAAACUCAAACAAAUCAAUAGCAAAAGAAAAAAAUGAUUAAAAAAUGAACUAAAGACCUGAACAGACAUUUCUCAAAACAUACAAAUGGCCAACAGUAUAUUUAAAAAUACUCAGUAUCACUAAUCAUCAGGAAAAUGCUAAUCAUAACCACAAUGAGAUAUUAUCUCACCACAGUUAGAGUGGUUAUUGUAAAAAAAAGACAGAAAAUAACACAUGCUGGGGAAAAUGCAGAGAAAGGAGAACAAUUGUAGACUGUAGUAGGAAUGUAAAGUAGUACAAGCACUAUGAAAAACAGCAUAGUAGUUCCUCUAUGACAGAACUACCAUAUGAUCCAGCAAUUCCAGUGCUAGGGAUAUAUCCAAAAGAUGGGAAAUCUGUAUACUGAAGAUUGCCUUCACUACUGUGCUAGUCCAGAAUAGCACUAGCACUCUUCACAAUAGCCAAGUUAUGGAAUCAACCUAGGUGUCCAUCAAAGGAUGAAUAAAUAAGAAAAUGUGGUUUAUAUACACAAUGGAAUAUUAUUCAGUCAUAAAAAGAAUGAAAUCCCGUCAUCACAGCAACGUGGAUGGAACUGGAAGUUGUGUUAAGUAAAAUAAGCCAGACACAGAGAGACAAAAUGGUAUGUUCUCACUCAUAUGUAGAGCUUAAAAAGUGGAUCUUAUGGAGGUAGAGGGUGGAAUGGUGGUUACCAGAGGCUGGGAAAGGAAUGGUGGAGAGGGAGAUGAAGAGAAGUUGGUUAAUGGCUACUAACAUACAGUUAGAUAGAAGAAAUAAGUUAAAGUGUUUGCUGGUAGAUUAGGGGGACUAUAGAUAACAACAGUGUAUUAUGUAUUUUAAAGUAGCUAGAAGAGAAGAAGUAUAAUAAUGUUCCCAGGACAAAGAAAAGAUAAAUGUUUGAGGUGAGGGAUGUCUUAAUAAUGUUAAUUUGAUCAUUACACAUUGUAUACAUGUAUCAAAAUCCUAAAAUAUCCCCAAAAUAUGUACAAUGAUUGUGUAUCAAUAAAUAUAAUACAAAAAUUCCAAGUUUUAGUUUUGUUCAUCUUUUCUAUUGUUUUUCUAGUUUUGAUUUAUUUCUUCUUUGAUCUUUAUUUCAUUCCUUCUACUAACUUUGGGCUUAGCUUGUUCUUCUUUUUCUAAGUUCCUUGAGGUUAACAUUAGCUUACUUAUUUGAGAUCCUUCUUCCAUUAAAAUGUAGCUGUUUAUUAAGAUAAUCUUCCCUCUUAGAACUGCUUUUGUAGGCUGGGUGUGGUGGCUCACACCUGUAAUCCCAGCACUGUGGGAGGCCAAGGCAGGCGGAUCACGAGGUCAAGAGAUCGAGAUCAUCCUGGCCAACAUAGUGAAACCCCAUCUCUACUAAAAACGCAAAAAUUAGCCGGACAUGGUGGUGGGCGCCUGUAGUCCCAGCUACUUCAGGAGGCUGAGGCAGGAGAAUCCCUUGAACCCAGGAAGCGGAGGUUGCAGUAAUCCGAGAUCUUGCCACUACACUCCAGCCUGGUGACAGAGGGAGACUCCAUCUCAAAAAGAAAGAAAGAAAAAAAUAGAACUGCUUUUGUUGAAUCCCAUAAUUUUGGGGAUAUUUUGUUUCUAUUUAGCUCAUCUCAAGAUAUUUUUGUAUUUCCAUUUUGAUUCCUUCUUUGAUACCUUGGCUGUUCAGGAG
Long non-coding RNA from Callithrix jacchus (white-tufted-ear marmoset), 2565 nucleotides. NCBI's taxonomy places the organism in Eukaryota, Metazoa, Chordata, Mammalia, Primates, Cebidae. The record is from Ensembl.